Molecule: ribosomal RNA, 256 nt
Filed under: uncultured bacterium
Lineage: Bacteria
Description: partial 16S ribosomal RNA
Rfam family: Bacterial small subunit ribosomal RNA
Source: RNAcentral
UACGGAGGGGGGCUAGCGUUGUUCGGAAUUACUGGGCGUAAAGCGCACGUAGGCGGCUUUGUAAGUUAGAGGUGAAAGCCCGGGGCUCAACUCCGGAAUUGCCUUUAAAAACUGCAUCGCUAGAAUUGUGGAGAGGUAAGUGGAAAUUCCGAGUGUAGAGGUGAAAUUCGUAGAUAUUCGGAAGAACACCAGUGGCGAAGGCGACUUACUGGACACAUAUUGACGCUGAGGUGCGAAAGCGUGGGGAGCAAACAGG